AUUCCAUGAUGGGGACAUUCUAGGAUGUAGUAUUGGAAGCGCUCUCAAGCUUCUAGAAUAGAUUCAUCAUGUUGUUGCUGAAAACUUGUAAUCUUCUCACGAAGAGC
This is a small nucleolar RNA of Sorghum bicolor (sorghum), 107 nucleotides long. It matches the Rfam family "Plant small nucleolar RNA R71". Rfam says of the family: R71 is a member of the C/D box family of snoRNAs containing the C (UGAUGA) and D (CUGA) box motifs. Multiple nearly identical copies of this snoRNA have been identified in Arabidopsis, and it is thought to function as a 2'-O-ribose methylation guide for 18S ribosomal RNA. The record is from Rfam. Lineage: Eukaryota; Viridiplantae; Streptophyta; Magnoliopsida; Poales; Poaceae.